This 253-nucleotide ribosomal RNA is filed under the name uncultured bacterium. RNAcentral's name for it is "partial 16S ribosomal RNA". It matches the Rfam family "Bacterial small subunit ribosomal RNA", at positions 524 to 776 of the family's 1533-position model. The record is from RNAcentral.
UACGUAGGGUGCGAGCGUUGUCCGGAAUUAUUGGGCGUAAAGGGCUCGUAGGCGGUCUGUCGCGUCGGGAGUGAAAACUCAGGGCUUAACCCUGAGCCUGCUUCCGAUACGGGCAGACUAGAGGUAUGCAGGGGAGAACGGAAUUCCUGGUGUAGCGGUGGAAUGCGCAGAUAUCGGGAGGAACGCCGGUGGCGAAAGCGACUGUCUGGGGUGCCUGUGACGCUGAGGCGCGAAAGCCAGGGGAUCAAACGGG